UACGAAGGGGGCUAGCGUUGUUCGGAUUUACUGGGCGUAAAGCGCACGUAGGCGGAUUGUUAAGUCAGGGGUGAAAUCCUGGAGCUCAACUCCAGAACUGCCUUUGAUACUGGCAAUCUAGAGUCCGGAAGAGGUGAGUGGAACUCCUAGUGUAGAGGUGGAAUUCGUAGAUAUUGGGAAGAACACCGGUGGCGAAGGCGGCGACCUGGUCCAAGACUGACGCUGAGGCGCGAAAGCGUGGGGAGCAAACAGG
RNAcentral lists this ribosomal RNA (253 nucleotides) under uncultured bacterium. RNAcentral's name for it is "partial 16S ribosomal RNA". It matches the Rfam family "Bacterial small subunit ribosomal RNA", at positions 524 to 776 of the family's 1533-position model. The record is from RNAcentral.